RNAcentral lists this ribosomal RNA (903 nucleotides) under uncultured bacterium. Its description in RNAcentral is "bacterial SSU rRNA". It matches the Rfam family "Bacterial small subunit ribosomal RNA", at positions 22 to 917 of the family's 1533-position model. The record is from RNAcentral.
GCUCAGGAUGAACGCUAGCUACAGGCUUAACACAUGCAAGUCGAGGGGCAGCAUGGUCUUAGCUUGCUAAGGCCGAUGGCGACCGGCGCACGGGUGAGUAACACGUAUCCAACCUGCCGUCUACUCUUGGACAGCCUUCUGAAAGGAAGAUUAAUACAAGAUGGCAUCAUGAGUCCGCAUGUUCACAUGAUUAAAGGUAUUCCGGUAGACGAUGGGGAUGCGUUCCAUUAGAUAGUAGGCGGGGUAACGGCCCACCUAGUCUUCGAUGGAUAGGGGUUCUGAGAGGAAGGUCCCCCACAUUGGAACUGAGACACGGUCCAAACUCCUACGGGAGGCAGCAGUGAGGAAUAUUGGUCAAUGGGCGAGAGCCUGAACCAGCCAAGUAGCGUGAAGGAUGACUGCCCUAUGGGUUGUAAACUUCUUUUAUAAAGGAAUAAAGUCGGGUAUGGAUACCCGUUUGCAUGUACUUUAUGAAUAAGGAUCGGCUAACUCCGUGCCAGCAGCCGCGGUAAUACGGAGGAUCCGAGCGUUAUCCGGAUUUAUUGGGUUUAAAGGGAGCGUAGAUGGAUGUUUAAGUCAGUUGUGAAAGUUUGCGGCUCAACCGUAAAAUUGCAGUUGAUACUGGAUAUCUUGAGUGCAGUUGAGGCAGGCGGAAUUCGUGGUGUAGCGGUGAAAUGCUUAGAUAUCACGAAGAACUCCGAUUGCGAAGGCAGCCUGCUAAGCUGCAACUGACAUUGAGGCUCGAAAGUGUGGGUAUCAAACAGGAUUAGAUACCCUGGUAGUCCACACGGUAAACGAUGAAUACUCGCUGUUUGCGAUAUACAGCAAGCGGCCAAGCGAAAGCGUUAAGUAUUCCACCUGGGGAGUACGCCGGCAACGGUGAAACUCAAAGGAAUUGACGGA